CUGGGUGUGAUGACCAUUUUACUCUUGAUAUUCAACUGUGAAGCUUUAUGUAUUCAUACUGUCUGACCCCA
Molecule: small nucleolar RNA, 71 nt
Organism: Scleropages formosus (Asian bonytongue)
Lineage: Eukaryota; Metazoa; Chordata; Actinopteri; Osteoglossiformes; Osteoglossidae
Source: Ensembl